GGAAGGAUCGCAUAGUGGUCGAGUGCGCUCGCUUGGAAAGCGAGUAGGCCCACAAGCCUCCGGGGUUCGAAUCCCCGUCCUUCCGC
RNAcentral lists this transfer RNA (86 nucleotides) under Parcubacteria group bacterium ADurb.Bin016. RNAcentral describes it as "tRNA-Ser". It matches the Rfam family "tRNA". Rfam says of the family: Transfer RNA (tRNA) molecules are approximately 80 nucleotides in length. Their secondary structure includes four short double-helical elements and three loops (D, anti-codon, and T loops). The record is from RNAcentral.